This 62-nucleotide transfer RNA is filed under the name Nephotettix malayanus. RNAcentral describes it as "tRNA-Thr". The record is from RNAcentral. Lineage: Eukaryota; Metazoa; Arthropoda; Insecta; Hemiptera; Cicadellidae.
GUUUUAAUAAUUUAAUAAAAAUAUUAGUUUUGUAAACUAAAAAUAGGGAUGCCUUUAAAACU